Molecule: ribosomal RNA, 496 nt
Filed under: uncultured bacterium
Lineage: Bacteria
Description: partial 16S ribosomal RNA
Rfam family: Bacterial small subunit ribosomal RNA
Source: RNAcentral
GAUGAACGCUGGCGGCGUGCCUAAUACAUGCAAGUCGAGCGAACGGACGAGAAGCUUGCUUCUCUGAUGUUAGCGGCGGACGGGUGAGUAACACGUGGAUAACCUACCUAUAAGACUGGGAUAACUUCGGGAAACCGGAGCUAAUACCGGAUAAUAUUUUGAACCGCAUGGUUCAAAAGUGAAAGACGGUCUUGCUGUCACUUAUAGAUGGAAACGCGCUGCAUUAGCUAGUUGGUAAGGUAACGGCUUACCAAGGCAACGAUGCAUAGCCGACCUGAGAGGGUGAUCGGCCACACUGGAACUGAGACACGGUCCAGACUCCUACGGGAGGCAGCAGUAGGGAAUCUUCCGCAAUGGGCGAAAGCCUGACGGAGCAACGCCGCGUGAGUGAUGAAGGUCUUCGGAUCGUAAAACUCUGUUAUUAGGGAAGAACAUAUGUGUAAGUAACUGUGCACAUCUUGACGGUACCUAAUCAGAAAGCCACGGCUAACUACGU